UACGUAGGGGGCAAGCGUUGUUCGGAUUUACUGGGCGUAAAGGGCGCGUAGGCGGCGUGGUAAGUCACUUGUGAAAUCUCUGAGCUUAACUCAGAACGGUCAAGUGAUACUGCUGUGCUAGAGUGCAGAAGGGGCAAUCGGAAUUCUUGGUGUAGCGGUGAAAUGCGUAGAUAUCAAGAGGAACACCUGAGGUGAAGACGGGUUGCUGGGCUGACACUGACGCUGAGGCGCGAAAGCCAGGGGAGCAAACGGG
RNAcentral lists this ribosomal RNA (253 nucleotides) under uncultured bacterium. RNAcentral describes it as "partial 16S ribosomal RNA". It matches the Rfam family "Bacterial small subunit ribosomal RNA", at positions 524 to 776 of the family's 1533-position model. The record is from RNAcentral.